CAGCUGCAGGUCUUCCACCUGUGGGCGAGGCAGAGUGCUGCAGUAGCAAAUGACAGUUUCACCCAAUCCACCUCUGGGUAUUUAAGAAGCUUCCUGAUGAAAUUUGACCUCUCAUGGUCAACCAUUACUGAGGACCUGAAGGAACACUUACCUGACCAAACCUCCUUGAGUAAUUGCUUUCCUAGCUGCUCCAGGUCUAAGACACUACCUCCUUCUAGCUAAACUCACACUUCCAUUAGCUGCUCAUCAGUCUGCUACAGCUCCAUCCACCUUUAAGUUUUCCACCUGUCUGCUCUCCAACUCAUCAGCUGCAGACUCUGCUUUUCCUUUUGUCAUUGUGGUGAUCAAACUAAUUCAUCCUCAUAGGCUCUGCGUGUCAGCAGAGGGUCCUGGUUUCAGAAGCUUGGUUUCAGGUAACAAUCACCUUUGUACAUCUUUUCAAACCAAACACAUUAACACGUUCACUCCAGCUCCAAAAAGGCCCCUCACCCUGAGAACAAGAUUAUCACCCUACAUGACCAACUCAUUUUCCAACUCUUUAGUGGUUCUGAGGUACCUCCAGGACAUUACACUAAGAUACACAACACCACUAACCUCCCUGUCACCUCUUGAAACGUAAGAAAAGCAAAAUCUCCACUAGCAUACUUUCAAUGAGUUGGCAGAAAAAUCAUGAAAGGAUGGAAAAUGGAAAGUAAAGCCUCUGAUCUGUUGAUUUCAUACGUUUUCACAUGGCAAACGCAAACUUCUAUAUACUUAAAUGGAUUUUAUAUAUUAGAUCAAGAUGGAUGAACAUGGAUUCUGAACAGUACACACAAAGGUGUGAACUUUUCUACACCUUUCAGUGUCACACUAACUUGCACCUAACUCAGGCCAGGAAGAGGAGGAGUCAUAGAUGACACCCCGCAGCGUCACUGUUUGACCAAAAACGCUGUGUUCCAGCAUGGUGGCCUCUACCACACAGGUCUCCAGGAGAACCGGAUGGAGUGACACAACGUGUGAACGUCUCCUUGCCGGCAAGCAGACAUAUCUCUUCAACUUGGGUCCAAAAGUGACCACAAUCACGCCGAUUGUAUGCAACAAAGUUAGGUAGUAGUUUGCUGUUGAGAGUACCCAGCAUUCAUUCAUAAAAGGGGAAUAAUAAGACAAGUGUGACUUGACUUUUCCUUGAGGCCUGCAGAGGUUACAGAAGCUCCCAGGGGACGUUGUCCCUAAUUGAAGCGGUUUUCCCCAUGACCUGGAGGAAAGGUAACAAAACAGCAGUUCGGCCGGCUGAGUACAGCCGCCCCCACUUUUAUUAAUGGUAUU
Molecule: long non-coding RNA, 1305 nt
Organism: Girardinichthys multiradiatus
Lineage: Eukaryota; Metazoa; Chordata; Actinopteri; Cyprinodontiformes; Goodeidae
Exons: 3
Source: RefSeq, a predicted model, not a curated record